This 456-nucleotide ribosomal RNA is filed under the name uncultured bacterium. RNAcentral describes it as "bacterial SSU rRNA". It matches the Rfam family "Bacterial small subunit ribosomal RNA", at positions 37 to 507 of the family's 1533-position model. The record is from RNAcentral.
UGGCGGCACGCCUAACACAUGCAAGUCGAACGGACUUAAACGGAGCUUGCUCUGAUUAAGUUAGUGGCGGACGGUGAGUAACACGUGAGCAACCUGCCUCUGAGAGUGGAAUAACGUACUGAAAAGGACGCUAAUACCGCAUAACAUAUAUUUGCCGCAUGACAGAUAUAUCAAAGAUUUAUCGCUCAGAGAUGGGCUCGCGUCUGAUUAGAUAGUUGGUGAGGUAACGGCUCACCAAGUCGACGAUCAGUAGCCGGACUGAGAGGUUGAACGGCCACAUUGGGACUGAGACACGGCCCAGACUCCUACGGGAGGCAGCAGUGGGGAAUAUUGCACAAUGGGCGCAAGCCUGAUGCAGCGAUGCCGCGUGAGGGAAGAAGGUUUUAGGAUUGUAAACCUCUGUCUUCAGGGACGAUAAUGACGGUACCUGACUAAGAAGCACCGGCUAAAUACGUG